Molecule: long non-coding RNA, 3852 nt
Organism: Rosa chinensis
Lineage: Eukaryota; Viridiplantae; Streptophyta; Magnoliopsida; Rosales; Rosaceae
Exons: 3
Source: RefSeq, a predicted model, not a curated record
UUUUUCGGUCCCUGAUACAUUUUUGCUUGUUACAUGUUUUUCUCCUGAUAUUCUCAAUUUGAUAUUCUAUUAAUUGAUGUAUGUUCUUGCUGGUUUGUAUCUGGUGAUUCUGGUCACUGUUAAUUAUCCUAAAUAUCCAUUCUGCUGCAACCAUCUUGGAGAAGAACAAUUUGAUCAAGCAUGACACAAAAAGUGGAUAUUUCCAGGUCACAGACUUGGGUCACAUUGCUAGCCAUUACUACAUAACUCAUGGGACAAUAUCGACAUAUAAUGAGCAUUUGAAGCCAACUAUGGGGGAUAUUGAACUUUAUCAAUUGUUCUCCUUCAGUGAAGAGUUCAAGUAUGUCACUGUGCGGCCGGAUGAAAAUAUGGAACUUGUAAAACUAUCGGAAUGUGCUCCCAUUCCGGUCAAGGAGAGCCUGAAAGAUCCCAGUUGCAAGAUUAAUGUUUUGCUGCAAGCAUAUAUUGCACAGCUGAAAUUUGAAGGGUUUUCAUUGACACAAGAUAUGGUUUUGAUUACAGAGUGCUGGGCGUCUUGUACGACCUCUUUUCGAGAUCGUUUUGAAACGAGGAUGGGCUCAACUUGCAGACAAGGCUUUGAACUUGUGUAAAAUGGUUAGCAAGAGGAUGUGGAGUGUCCAAAUACUUCUUCACCAAUUCCAUGGAAUAACAAAAGAUAUCUUGGUGAAGUUGGAGAAGAAUAAUUUGGCCUGGUAAAAGUAUUAUGACCUCUCUUCAGAGGAGCUGGGGGAGCUUAUAAAGAUGCCAAAGAUGGGAAAAACACUUCAUAAGUUCAUCCACAAGUUCCCCAAAUUAAACCUUGCAGCACAUGUGCAGCCAAUUACUCGAACUGUACUGAGGGUUGAGCUUACUAUAACGCCUGACUUUCAAUGGUAGGACAAAUUUCAUGGCUUCGUGGAGCCAUUUUGGGUACUUAUGGAGAAUAAUGAUGCCAUCAUGAAUAUUUUUUGCUGAAGAAGCAGUAUAUUGAUGAGGAUCAUACUUUGAACUUCACUGUUCAAAUUUACUAACCCCUUCCGCCUCACUACUUCAUUCGUAUCGUAUCUGAUAGGUGGCUUGGGUCAGAGACUGUUUUACCUGUUUCUUUCAGGUACCUCAUUGUACCUGAAAAGUAUCCUCCACCGACAGAGUUAUUGGACCUGCAACCACUUCCUGUGACCACAUUAAGGAAUCCGCUAUAUGAAGCUCUGUAUCAAGAUUUCAAGCAGUUUAAUACUGUCCAGACUCAGGUCUUCACUGUUUUGUAUAAUUCUGAUGGCAAUGUCUUAGUUGCUGCACCAACAGGGAGUGGGAAGACCAUAUGUGCAGAGUUUGAUGUAUUGAGGGAUCAUCAGAAGGCCUCUGAAAGUGGCAUUGUGUAUAUUGCCCCUGUUGAAGGUCUUGCCAAGGAAUGGCACACUGACUGGCAAAAGAAGUUUGGAAUGGGACCAAAUUGUCUUAAUCUGCAUGUUGUUGAAUUAACAGGGGAAAGAGCCACAGAUUUAAAGCUACCUGAAAAAGGUCAGAUUAUCAUCAGACUCCAGAGAAAUGGGAUGCUUUAUCUCGCGGAUGGAAACAGAGGAAGCAUGUACAACAACGACACUUGAUUGGUGGUCGGGGUGGUUCCACAUUGGAGGUAAUAGUCUCUUGGAUGAGAUGCAUGUCAAGUGAACUUUAGAACAAGAUUCGUAUUGUAGCUCAAGUUCUCUUGCAAAUGCCAAGGAUGUUGGAGGAUGGAUAGGGGCUACCUCUCAUGGCCUUUUCAAUUAUCCUCCUGGUGUGAGCCCAGUGCCAGAAAUACACAUUCCGGGGUUGAUAUAGCUAAUCAUGAAGCAAGGAUGCAAGCACAAAACCAACGAACAGUGCAAUUGUUCAACAUGCCAAGAAUGGAAAACCAGCUCUUGUGUAUGUUCCUACUAGGAAACAUGUCCAACAAACAGCUCAGGAUCUAAUGGAUUACUCAAAUGCAGAGAGGUCAAAUGCAAAUGGGAACCCCCUCCUUUCUGUUGCGGUCUCUAAAAGAGAUAGAGCCUUUCAUUGAGAAAAUUAGCAAUGAAAAGUUGCAAGACGCCUUGCGGCAUGGAGUGGGCUUCUUGCAUGAGGGACUAACCAGUGACGAUCAAGACAUUGUGUCAGCACUUUUUGAAGCUGAGUAUAUUCAAUUAUGUGUCAUGAGCAGUUGUCAACGCAUUUGGUGGUUGUGAUGGGAACUCAAUAUUAUGAUGGCCGGGAAAAUCUUCACACUGAUUACCCAAUUGCUGAUCUCUUGCAGAUGAUUGGUCAUGCCUGUCGCCCUAAGAAAGAUAAUUCUGGGAAAUGUGUCAUCCUCUGCCAUGCUCCUCGUAAAGAAUACUACAAGAAGUUCUUAUAUGAAGCAUUGCCUGUUGAAAGUCAUUUGCACCAUUAUUUACAUGACAAUCUAAAUGCAGAAGUUGUAGCCCAAGUAAUCGGGAACCAUGAAGGGGCUCUCAAUUACCUUGCAUGGACAUUUUUCUACAGGAGGCUCACACAGAAUCCCAACUAUUAUCUUCAGGGAGUUACGCACAUAAUUCUGAGUACCUUUCAGAGCUUGUUGAAAAUACACUGAAUGACCUGGAAACAAGCAAAUGUGUUGCUGUGGAGGAUGGGGAUGUUUCUGCCUUGAAUCUUGGUAUAAUAUUUUCAUAUUAUUGUAUCAGUUAUUCUCCAAUUGAGCGUUUCAAUUCUUCCUUAACUUCCAAAACGAAGAUGAAGGGUCUUCUUGAGAUUCUAGCUCAUGCUUCAGGGUAUUCGCAACUUUCCAUACGACCUGGAGAGGAAGAGGUGAUUCGAAGGUUGAUUAACCACCAUAGAUUUUCCUUUGAGAAUCCCAACUUCACAGAUCCUCACGUCAAAGCAAAUGCUCUUCUUCAGGCCCAUUUUGCAAGGCAUCAUGUGGCUGGGGACCUAUCAUUGGACCAGCUUGAGGUUCUCCUUUCUGCAAGUAGGUUGCUUCACGCAAUAUUUGAUGUCCUUGCCAGCAAUGGAUGGCUAAACCUUUCUCUCAUAGCAAUGGAAGUCAGCCAGAUGGUGACUCGGGGGAUGUGGGAUCAUGACUUGAUGCUACUACAGCUUCCUCACUUCACGAUGGAGCUGGCAAAAAGAUGCCAAAAGUUUCCUGGAAAGAAUAUAGAGAGGGUAUCUGAUAUGGUUGACAUGGAGUAUGAUCAAAGGCGGGAACUAUUUCAGGAACUCAGGAAGUACUUCAUAUGUCAGAUAUACAGUUGGAGGAUAUUGAACAAUUUUGCAAACGAUUUCCCAACAUUGGAAUGACAUUUAAGGUGCUGGGGAGUGAGAAUGUAAGAGCUGGGGAGGAAGUCACUUUGCAAGUUGAUAUGACUGUGAACAGGUUGGCCCUCUUCAUGCCCCGAGGUAUCCCAGGACCAAAGAAGAGGGGUGGUGGCUAGUAGUUGGGGACACCAAGACUAACUCACUGCUUGCCAUUAAGAGAGUUCCCCUACUAAAGAAGGCGAAGGUCCAAUUUAGAUUUUUGGCUCCUGCAGAAGCUGGAAAUAAGACACACUGUAUUUCAUGUGUGAUUCAUCGGUCGGGGUUAGGGCUAGAUCGGUCGUCGAGAGGGCUCGGAGGGCUCCAUCGGUGGGCGCCGAUCAUAACCGUUCUCAGGAUGGCCGCGGCCGUUCACUGGGUCGCGAUGGUCGUGGUUCUCAGAGCCAAGAUGGACGUCGUUAUCAAAGCCAAGACAAAUCUCUUGAGGGUACAAAAUCUCAAUCUCAGUUACUUUUGAUUAUUACGGUAGAAUUCGUUGCUGAAUUGUUAUCAAUUUCACUUACCUUCGGAUUAUUAGUGUAGAAUUUGUUGCUGAAUUGUUAUCAA